This 1265-nucleotide long non-coding RNA is filed under the name Anas platyrhynchos platyrhynchos (common mallard). RNAcentral describes it as "lncRNA (ENSAPLG00000023857.1)". Lineage: Eukaryota; Metazoa; Chordata; Aves; Anseriformes; Anatidae. The record is from RNAcentral.
CAGGGGGAUGGGGGCAGGGGGAUGGGGACAUUGGGAUGGGGGUGGGGGGAUGGGGACACUGGGAUGGGGGUGUGGGGACAGGGGGAUGGGGACGCUGGGGACAGUGGGGGGACGGGGCACUGGGAACAUUGGGGAUGGGGAAUGGGGUUGGGAUGGGGAUGGGGACAGGAUGGGGAGAGGAUGGGGACAGGGAUGGGGACAGGGACAGGAUGGGGAUGGGGACAAGAUGGGGAAGAGGACAUGGAUGGGGACAGGAUUGGGACAGGAUUAGGACUGGGAUGGGGACAAGGAUGGGGACAGGGGAUGGGGAAAGGGAUGGGGAGAGGAAGGGGACAGGGACAGGAUGGGGACAGGGACAUGGAAAGGACAGGAUGGGGACAGGGACAGGAUGGGGACGGAGGCAGGAUGGGGAUAGGGACAUGGAUGGGGACAGGGACUGGGAUUGGGAGAGGGGACAGGGACACGGGUGGGGACACCGCGGUCAAUGGGGCCACCAUGGGCACUGGGGGACACCUGGGGACAGGAGCACCUAGGGGUAAGGUCAGAUUUUGGGACACAAGGGACAGGGGGGCACCAGGGAGAGUUGGUGGGGACAUGGAGGCAGGGACAUGGGGACAAUGGGGAUGGGGACAUCAGGACACGAGGGGCAGCGGGGAUGGGGACAGCGGGGACAGAUGGUGGGGACACCUGGGGACACACGGACAUCAGGACACAGGGACAUGGGGACAAUGGGGACACGGACAAGGGAGAGCCCCCGGCCGGACGGUGUGGAGGGGGACCCGGGGGACCCCCAGCCCCAAACCCAGGAGAUGGGGGGGGCGCCCCUUGCUCCAGGGUGGCCCCUCGGCUUUGGGGACGCCGUGGGGACAACGUGGGGACAGCGAGGGGGCUCUCACCGUGUGCGGGCACAGCGCCCGUCCCCGCGGGGCCGCGCUCCCGGUUGAGGACGGUGCAGGGGGCUGCAAGGAGAGACGGCGGCGGCGUCACCCAGGGAGGGGACACGGGGAGGGGGGUGGGGAGGGGGGGACGGGGGGGGGCGGGGGGGACGGGGGGGGGAGGACGGGGAGGUGGCGCUCGGGGCCGGGGGCCACUCACCCUUCUUCUUCUUGCGGCCGGGGCGGCCCCGCUUCAGCUUCUUGAUGCGGGCGGCGGGGUCGGAGCGCGCCGAGGCGCUGUGCACGCUCGAGCUCUCCGCGUCCGACUCCUCCUCCGCCUCCCCCGCGUCCUCGCUCUGCAACGGGACGGGGACACGGGGACACUGGGGA